AGUGAACGCUGGCGGUAGGCCUAACACAUGCAAGUCGAACGGCAGCAUAGUAAGAGCUUGCUCUUACGGGUGGCGAGUGGCGGACGGGUGAGGAAUACAUCGGAAUCUACUUUUUCGUGGGGGAUAACGUAGGGAAACUUACGCUAAUACCGCAUACGACCUACGGGUGAAAGCAAGAGAUCUUCGGACCUUGCGCGAUUGAAUGAGCCGAUGUCGGAUUAGCUAGUUGGCGGGGUAAAGGCCCACCAAGGCGACGAUCCGUAGCUGGUCUGAGAGGAUGAUCAGCCACACUGGAACUGAGACACGGUCCAGACUCCUACGGGAGGCAGCAGUGGGGAAUAUUGGACAAUGGGCGCAAGCCUGAUCCAGCCAUGCCGCGUGGGUGAAGAAGGCCUUCGGGUUGUAAAGCCCUUUUGUUGGGAAAGAAAAGCAGCAGGUUAAUCCCCCGCUGUUCUGACGGUACCCAAAGAAUAAGCACCGGCUAACUUCGUG
Molecule: ribosomal RNA, 492 nt
Filed under: uncultured bacterium
Lineage: Bacteria
Description: partial 16S ribosomal RNA
Rfam family: Bacterial small subunit ribosomal RNA
Source: RNAcentral